GACGAACGCUGGCGGCGUGCUUAACACAUGCAAGUCGAACGGAAAGGCCCUGCUUUUGUGGGGUGCUCGAGUGGCGAACGGGUGAGUAACACGUGAGUAACCUGCCCUUGACUUUGGGAUAACUUCAGGAAACUGGGGCUAAUACCGGAUAGGAGCUCCUGCUGCAUGGUGGGGGUUGGAAAGUUUCGGCGGUUGGGGCUGGACUCGCGGCUUAUCAGCUUGUUGGUGGGGUAGUGGCUUACCAAGGCUUUGACGGGUAGCCGGCCUGAGAGGGUGACCGGCCACAUUGGGACUGAGAUACGGCGCAGACGCCUACGGGAGGCAGCAGUGGGGAAUAUUGCACAAUGGGCGGAAGCCUGAUGCAGCAACGCCGCGUGCGGGAUGACGGCCUUCGGGUUGUAAACCGCUGUCGCCUGUGACGAAGCGUGAGUGACGGUAAUGGGUAAAGAAGCACCGGCUAACUACGUG
Molecule: ribosomal RNA, 468 nt
Filed under: uncultured bacterium
Lineage: Bacteria
Description: partial 16S ribosomal RNA
Rfam family: Bacterial small subunit ribosomal RNA
Source: RNAcentral